GAUGAAGAACGCAGCGAAAUGCGAUAAGUAAUGUGAAUUGCAGAAUUCAGUGAAUCAUCGAAUCUUUGAACGCACAUUGCGCCCGCCAGUAUUCUGGCGGGCAUGCCUGUCUGAGCGUCAUUUCAACCCUCAUGCCCCUAGGGCGUGGUGUUGGGGAUCGGCCAAAGCCCGCGAGGGACGGCCGGCCCCUAAAUCUAGUGGCGGACCCGUCGUGGCCUCCUCUGCGAAGUAGUGAUAUUCCGCAUCGGAGAGCGACGAGCCCCUGCCGUUAAACCCCCAACUUUCCAAGGUUGACCUCAGAUCAGGUAGAAAUACCCGCUGAACUUAAGCAUAUCAAUAAGCGGAGGA
This 348-nucleotide unclassified non-coding RNA is filed under the name soil metagenome. RNAcentral's name for it is "partial contains 5.8S ribosomal RNA, internal transcribed spacer 2, and large subunit ribosomal RNA". The stretch from base 1 to 120 matches the Rfam family "5.8S ribosomal RNA", at positions 35 to 154 of the family's 154-position model. The record is from RNAcentral.